AUACGGAGGGUGCAAGCGUUAUCCGGAAUCAUUGGGUUUAAAGGGUCCGUAGGCGGACUAUUAAGUCAGAGGUGAAAUCCCACAGCUCAACUGUGGAACUGCCUUUGAUACUGGUAGUCUUGAGUUAUAUGGAAGUAGAUAGAAUGUGUAGUGUAGCGGUGAAAUGCAUAGAUAUUACACAGAAUACCGAUUGCGAAGGCAGUCUACUACGUAUAUACUGACGCUAAGGGACGAAAGCGUGGGGAGCGAACAGGAUUAGAAACCCGGGUAGUCC
This 274-nucleotide ribosomal RNA is filed under the name uncultured bacterium. RNAcentral's name for it is "partial 16S ribosomal RNA". It matches the Rfam family "Bacterial small subunit ribosomal RNA", at positions 523 to 796 of the family's 1533-position model. The record is from RNAcentral.